This 219-nucleotide ribosomal RNA is filed under the name uncultured bacterium. RNAcentral describes it as "partial 16S ribosomal RNA". It matches the Rfam family "Bacterial small subunit ribosomal RNA", at positions 524 to 740 of the family's 1533-position model. The record is from RNAcentral.
UACGUAGGAUGCAAGCGUUGUCCGGAAUUAUUGGGCGUAAAGAGCGCGCAGGCGGUAUGACAGUCAGAUGUGAAAGAGGCCGGCUUAACCGGCAAGGGUCAUUUGAAACUGUCAGACUAGAGUGCAGCAGAGGAUAGUGGAAUUCCCGGAUGUAGUGGUGAAAUGCGUAGAGUAUCGGAAGGAACGACCUGUGGCGAAAGCGGCUCACUGGACCAUUAC